Molecule: ribosomal RNA, 329 nt
Filed under: uncultured eukaryote
Lineage: Eukaryota
Description: partial 18S ribosomal RNA
Rfam family: Eukaryotic small subunit ribosomal RNA
Source: RNAcentral
CCCUUAGAUGUUCUGGGCCGCACGCGCGCUACACUGAUGCAUUCAACGAGUCUAAAACCUGCUCUGAUAGGGGUGGGUAAUCUUUUGAAUGUGCAUCGUGAUUGGGAUAGAUGAUUGCAAUUUUUCAUCUUCAACGAGGAAUGCCUAGUAAACGCAAGUCAUCAGCUUGCAUUGAUUACGUCCCUGCCCUUUGUACACACCGCCCGUCGCUCCUACCGAUUGAAUGAUACGAUGAAUAUCAUGGAUUGAGGAUGUAAGCAGGUUCGCCUGUCUUCAUCUUCGAGAAGUGAAGUAAAUCUUAUCAUUUAGAGGAAGGAGAAGUCGUAACA